GUCUACGGCCAUACCACGUUGAAAGCACCAGUUCUCGUCCGAUCACUGAAGUUAAGCAACGUCGGGCUCGGUUAGUACUUGGAUGGGUGACCGCCUGGGAACACCGAGUGCUGUAGAUU
Molecule: ribosomal RNA, 119 nt
Filed under: Lottia gigantea (owl limpet)
Lineage: Eukaryota; Metazoa; Mollusca; Gastropoda; Lottiidae
Source: RNAcentral